ACGCCCGUAGCUCAGUUGGCAGAGCGGUGGGACGGUACCCGUACCCCCCGGUCCCGGGUUCAAGUCCCGGCGGUCGCU
This is a non-coding RNA of Phthorimaea operculella (potato tuberworm), 78 nucleotides long. The record is from the annotation of a GenBank genome assembly. NCBI's taxonomy places the organism in Eukaryota, Metazoa, Arthropoda, Insecta, Lepidoptera, Gelechiidae.